GUCGUUUGUUUAUGAAAUUUAUACGUGUUUCUCAUUUUUCGUUUUCUAUAUAGAUUAGACCGUUGGUUUUCCCGUUUGAAUGGUUUUACACUAGUAAUUUUGAAGCCCUUUAUAGCUUAUUGUUCGGUGUGAGCCUAUGUUACGUGUUGAAGGCCGUACAUUGACCUAUAAUGGUUUACUUUUAUUAAUUGUUAUUUGGAUGGAGAGUUGUCUCAUUGGCACUCACACCACAUCUUCUUAUAUCUAUAAACUUUGAGAUUAUCC
This 264-nucleotide long non-coding RNA is filed under the name Mytilus galloprovincialis (Mediterranean mussel). Lineage: Eukaryota; Metazoa; Mollusca; Bivalvia; Mytilida; Mytilidae. The record is from RNAcentral.